Molecule: ribosomal RNA, 199 nt
Filed under: uncultured bacterium
Lineage: Bacteria
Description: partial 16S ribosomal RNA
Rfam family: Bacterial small subunit ribosomal RNA
Source: RNAcentral
GGCUGCAACUCGCCUGCAUGGAGCUGGAAUUGCUAGUAAUCGCGGAUCAGCAAGCCGCGGUGAAUACGUUCCCGGGCCUUGUACACACCGCCCGUCACACCAUGAGAGUCGGGAACACCCGAAGUCCGUAGUCUAACCGCGAAGGGGGGCGCGGCCGAAGGUGGGUCCGGUAAUUGGGGUGAAGUCGUAACAAGGUAGC